AAGCGGCAAAGCUCAAAUUUGAAAUCUGGCUCUUUCAGAGUCCGAGUUGUUAUUUGAAGAAGGUAUCUUUGGGUCUGGCUCUUGUCUAUGUUUCUUGGAACAGAACGUCACAGAGGGUGAGAAUCCCGUGCGAUGAGAUGAUCCAGGCCUAUGUAAAGUUCCUUCGAAGAGUCGAGUUGUUUGGGAAUGCAGCUCUAAGUGGGUGGUAAAUUCCAUCUAAAGCUAAAUAUUGGCGAGAGACCGAUAGCGAACAAGUACAGUGAUGGAAAGAUGAAAAGAACUUUGAAAAGAGAGUGAAAAAGUACGUGAAAUUGUUGAAAGGGAAGGGCUUGAGAUCAGACUUGGUAUUUUGUAUGUUACUUCUUCGGGGGUGGCCUCUACAGUUUAUCGGGCCAGCAUCAGUUUGGGCGGUAGGAGAAUUGCGUUGGAAUGUGGCACGGCUUCGGUUGUGUGUUAUAGCCUUCGUCGAUACUGCCAGCCUAGACUGAGGACUGCGGUUUAUACCUAGGAUGUUGGCAUAAUGAUCUUAAGUCGCCCGUCUUGAAACACGGACC
This 554-nucleotide ribosomal RNA is filed under the name Candida tropicalis. RNAcentral describes it as "eukaryotic LSU rRNA". It matches the Rfam family "Eukaryotic large subunit ribosomal RNA", at positions 97 to 667 of the family's 3401-position model. Lineage: Eukaryota; Fungi; Ascomycota; Pichiomycetes; Serinales; Debaryomycetaceae. The record is from RNAcentral.